Long non-coding RNA from Oncorhynchus keta (chum salmon), 1217 nucleotides. RefSeq lists it as uncharacterized. The transcript has 4 exons. The record is from RefSeq and is a predicted model, not a curated record. Lineage: Eukaryota; Metazoa; Chordata; Actinopteri; Salmoniformes; Salmonidae.
UGUAGAGGAGGCAGGGUAGCCUAGUGGUUAGAGUGUAGAGGCGGCAGGGUAGCCUAGUGGUUAGAGUGUAGAGGCGGCAGGGUAGCCUAGUGGUUAGAGUGUAGAGGUGGCAGGGUAGCCUAGUGGUUAGAGGGGAGGGGCGGCAGGGUAGCCUAGUGGUUAGAGUGUAGAGGCGGCAGGGUAGCCUAGUGGUUAGAGUGUAGAGGUGGCAGGGUAGCCUAGUGGUUAGAGUGUAGAGGUGGCAGGGUAGCCUAGUGGUUAGAGUGUAGGGGCGGCAGGGUAGCCUAGUGGUUAGAGUGUAGAGGCGGCAGGGUAGCCUAGUGGUUAGAGUGUAGAGGCGGCAGGGUAGCCUAGUGGUUAGAGUGUAGAGGCGGCAGGGUAGCCUAGUGGUUAGAGUGUAGAGGCGGCAGGGUAGCCUAGUGGUUAGGGUAGCCUAGUGGUUAGAGUGUAGAGGUGGCAGGGUAGCCUAGUGGUUAGAGUGGAGAGGCGGCAGGGUAGCCUAGUGGUUAGAGUGUAGAGGCGGCAGGGUAGCCUAGUGGUUAGAGUGUAGAGGCGGCAGGGUAGCCUAGUGGUUAGAGUGUAGAGGCGGCAGGGUAGCCUAGUGGUUAGAGUGUAGAGGCGGCAGGGUAGCCUGGUUAGAGUGUAGAGGCGGCAGGGUAGCCUCGUGGUUAGAGUGUAGAGGCGGCAGGGUAGCCUCGUGGUUAGAGUGUAGAGGCGGCAGGGUAGCCUCGUGGUUAGAGUGUAGAGGCGGCAGGGUAGCCUCGUGGUUAGAGUGUAGAGGCGGCAGGGUAGCCUCGUGGUUAGAGUGUAGAGGCGGCAGGGUAGCCUCGUGGUUAGAGUGUAGAGGCGGCAGGGUAGCCUCGUGGUUAGAGUGUAGAGGCGGCAGGGUAGCCUCGUGGUUAGAGUGUAGAGGCGGCAGGGUAGCCUCGUGGUUAGAGUGUAGAGGCGGCAGGGUAGCCUCGUGGUUAGAGUGUAGAGGCGGCAGGGUAGCCUCGUGGUUAGAGUGUAGAGGCGGCAGGGUAGCCUCGUGGUUAGAGUGUAGAGGCGGCAGGGUAGCCUCGUGGUUAGAGCGUUGGACUAGUAUCCGGAAGGGUGCAAGUUCAAAUUCCCGAGCUGACAGGGUACAAAUCUGUCGUUCUGCCCCUGAACAGGCAGUUAACCCACUGUUCCUAGGCCGUCAUUGAAAAUAAGAAUUUGUUCUUAACUGACUUGCCUAG